Molecule: ribosomal RNA, 253 nt
Filed under: uncultured bacterium
Lineage: Bacteria
Description: partial 16S ribosomal RNA
Rfam family: Bacterial small subunit ribosomal RNA
Source: RNAcentral
GACGUAGGGCGCGAGCGUUGUCCGGAUUUAUUGGGCGUAAAGAGCUCGUAGGCGGCUUGUCGCGUCGACUGUGAAAACCCGCGGCUCAACUGCGGGCCUGCAGCCGAUACGGGCAGGCUAGAGUUCGGUAGGGGAGACUGGAAUUCCUGGUGUAGCGGUGAAAUGCGCAGAUAUCAGGAAGAACACCCGUGGCGAAGGCGGCUCUCUGGGACGGUACUGACGCUGAGACGCGAAAGCGUGGGGAGCGAACAGG